AAUAAUCGAGUAUUUUUGUUCUAUUAGUAAGAAAUCACUAUUGUUGCGUCAAAAAGUCACUAUCAUAAUCCACCAUACCAUAUGUUGUGAUAAAAAAAAAAAUAUCUUAUUGAUAAAAAUUUACAACACAAUCAGUAAAUACAACAUAAAGUUAGUACCAAAAAGCAAGUACAUCAUAAAGUCUCAAAUACAAGGUAAACAAAAAACACCCAUCAAAUGGACAAAUAAAUACAUAAUGUCCAAAGAGAUCCUGAUUCAUCUACAAACUACAAAGAAUACAAUAGGAAACAACUGGGAUAAAAAAACUGUGGUAACAAUAAUCUAUGGUAUAAAAUAAUCCAAUCAUAACUUAAAAGCAUAUAUCAAGGGCACAGCAGCAACAUAUAGCAGCACAACAUCCCUUCCAGAAACCAUCACCCCUGCUAGUAGUUUGGUCUGAAAUCUUUUGUUGAGGGUACCCUUGAGAGCCAUCCUUGGAAGGAUAACCCAUAGGUGGUGGGGCAGUUACAUAUGGUGCUGAAGAAUAACCCUCACCUUGUGGUGGAUAUGAUACUGGGGCUUGUUGCUGAUUGUUGAAGUUACUCAUGUUGAUGAUGAUAGAAAAUAUCAAAAGAGUUGUUGAAAGAUAAGAAAGAUAAUGGAAUUGUAUGAGAUAAUAUUGUAAAGUAUAGAGGGAAUAAUGUGUGUGUAUAUAUAUAUAGGUUUAAUUUGGAUAAACGCGUUACAGGUGAGUAAGGAAAGUGUAAGACGGAGUUUACAAUUGAGAUUCAGAUACAUACGCUAUGUGUUUUGAUUUGUGACACAUUUGUCGUUCCUUAUUCUUUAUGUUUCCAAACAUAUAUUCAAGGUUUUCCACGCGUAUGAUCCAAAUAUUCAGAAUUUUCUAGAUUAUAUUGUGUCGUCAACUCCAUCAUAAUAAUGGUCGGUCUAAAAAAAAAAUCGAGCAGUCAUAUUGAUUUAAUGAUAAGAUCAACUUUAUGUGCAAAUUUAAGAGUUGAAAUCCUAUAAUAAUGGUUUCAUAUUUUAUAAAAUUCUAUAAAUAAUAGAGUCAAAUUUUGCUUAAUGUAAAAUUGGAAUAGAUUCAUGCUUAUAAUUAACAACAUUUUUUUUUUAAGGAAUGCUAUAACAACACUUAUUGAACGAUAUUAAAUAUUUUUGUCAAUAAAAAUAGAAUAAUGAUACAUAGACACCCUUAGGUGGCAAUACACCCUUUGACACCCACACAAAAAUCUGACACGUAGUCACGUGGACCCCGCACAAGCACACUUUCUCUUUUAUCUCCUCUUCUCUCUUCCUAAUGCAUGAGGUGUACAAGGGUGUAUGGGAAUAAAGGGUGUCUAUGUAUCAUUACUCAUAAAAAUAUGCCUUAUAAAUGCUGUCAUAUGACAAAUAAAUACACUAUAUGAUUGAAAAUUGAACUAAAAAUGAAACGGGGGCAAAAUUCCAAAAGAAAGUUAAACAGGGGAGACAUAAAACUAAUUUUUUUUUUAAAAGGAGGACGAAAACUUCAAUAAUUUUUGAAAAUAUGGGGACAAAGAUAUAUGUAUUGAUAUAUGAAUAAAAAUAUAGACACAUGUACAAAUUGCACUUUUUUUUUCCGUAUUAAAUAUGAAUAAAAAUAUAAGCAUGUGUAUAAAUUAAAAAAAUCGGUCCCCGUAUUAAUAUAUAAAAGUUAAAAUAUAAACGCAUGUAUAAAUUAAAAAAUAUAAGUUCUUUUAUAUGAGUAAAAAUAUAGACACAGGUAUAAACAUAAAAAAAUUAGGUCUAUGUAUUAAUUUUUUUUUUGAAAAAUCUAAAAUGGAAUAUAUUAUUGAAGCCUGAAAAAAUUUCAGCAGAAGAAGUGCAAAAACCCCAGCCAAAAGAGUAUCAAAUUAAAUAUUUCAUUUGUGUAUGUACUUUCACCAUCUUUUGGCAUUAGUCUUCACUUUUUUCAUUUAGCUUAUAUCCAUCCACUUUGUAAAAAUAUUGUUAUUAGUCAUUCUGUUAGUUUUAUGUUUUAAAAAAAAACUAACGGCUUGCCACAUGGCGUGGAAUAACCAAUUCACAUAGCGCACGAUUAGUUUUUUUUAAUAUGCAGCUAACAGAAGGACCAAUAACACUAUUUUUACAAAGUGCAUAGACUUAAACCAAACAAAAUAAAAAGUGCACAAACUAAUGUCAAAAAGUACAGAGACGAACCACAUGUUUAAUUCAUAAGAUGAAGUAUGUAUGACAAUCAUUUAGGGAUUCAAUUUGGAGAUAUUGAUUUUUUGUUUAAGGAUUAAAGUGACCAUUUACUCUUUUAUAUAAUUAUGUAUGUCAUAUUUAAGUCAUAAGAUGAAGUAUGUAUAAUAAAAGAGGAAAUUAGAUGAGAUUUAAAGAUUUGAGGAUUAAAUGCGGGAUUUAGGGAUUUGAAAUUCAACUUGGGAAUAUUGAUUUUCAAUUCUGGAACUAAAAUGAUCAUUUUCUAUUUUCACUUUAGUCCAUAUGACACCUCAUCAGCUAACGGAAGUUUUUAACAUCAGAGACUAAAAUGAUAACAAAAGUGCAUAUUCAGAGACUACUUUGUAUUUAAUAUUGAAUCAGGACUUUUGUGACAGCGAGGUGCGUAUAAUCAGGUAUCAAAAUGACUAUUUACUCUUGUAUAUAAGAAGAGAGAGUUCUUCUACUUCUACAUACAACUUCUCUCAAUAGUCAAUUGGUAUUCUUUUUUUUUUUUGCAGAGACCAACUAUUUUUACUCAUUCUUGUUGGGUGGACAAAUAUGACUACGAGUUGAAGAAACAAUAUAGUCUAGAAAGACAUGAAUGUUUGGAAGCAUACUACGCGUGCAAAACUAAAAAUUCCAUUGUAAGAAAACAAACAAACAAAUGUGUCAUAAAACAAAGCACAUACCGUAUCAAGCAUUAAUGUAAACGCCGUCCUAUACUUUGCUUUCUUACCUGUAACGCGUUUAUCCAACACGUCAAAUAGAAUUUUUCCAUUUGCAUUAAGGAACCAUAUAGUAUAUAUACACAUUUUUGCUUCCAUAUUUUUCAAUCACAUAACUACAAUUCCAUAAUCUUCUUUCUUUUCCUUCAAAAACUCUUUGAUAAUUUUAACUUCAUAACAUCACUAUGAGUCACUUUAACAAUCAGCAACAAACCCCAGUAUCAUAUCCACCACAGGCUUAUUCUUCAGCUCCAUAUGUAACUGCCCCACCACCUAUGGGUUAUCCUUCCAAGGAUGGCUCUCAAGGGUACCCUCAACAAAAGAUUUCAGACCAAACUACUAGCAGGGGUGAUGGUUUCUGGAAGGGAUGUUGUGCUGCUAUAUGUUGCUGCUGUGCCCUUGAUAUAUGCUUUUAAGUUAUGAUUGGAUUAUUUUAUACCAUAGAUUAUUGUUACCACAGUUUUUUUAUCCCAGUUGUUUCCUAUUGUAUUCUUUGUAGUUUGUAGAUGAAUCAGGAU
Molecule: long non-coding RNA, 3427 nt
Filed under: Medicago truncatula (barrel medic)
Lineage: Eukaryota; Viridiplantae; Streptophyta; Magnoliopsida; Fabales; Fabaceae
Description: long non-coding RNA (MTRU_LNC008637)
Source: RNAcentral